RNAcentral lists this long non-coding RNA (200 nucleotides) under Lathyrus oleraceus (garden pea). RNAcentral's name for it is "Pisum sativum (pea) long non-coding RNA (PSAT_LNC023259)". The record is from RNAcentral. Lineage: Eukaryota; Viridiplantae; Streptophyta; Magnoliopsida; Fabales; Fabaceae.
UGCAAGAUUUUGGAUUGGAUUGGACUUGGUUACUUUCCUUCUCGUGGCAGUAUUCUUAUUCAUGUGAAGCAGUAUGAUAGAAAAAUGAAGGACAAUAUUAAGAAAGAGUUCAGACUGUUUAUCUGAUUCGCAAUAGUUAAAACCAUUUGAUUAUCUCGAAAUGAUAUUAUGUUUAAUGGAGAACAAAAAAUGUUAAUAAC